GUCACCACGCCAUUAGUACGGCCACGCAGCGACACCAUGGAGCGGUAUCAGCAGACUGUUAUGCGUAGAAACUGCAUGCUCAUUAGAUCGUAGCAAAAGGCAACUUCUCUUCGACUGUGUCCGCUGGCGGAAAUAGUGAAAAUGUUUACCAAAAGCAACCGCGAUAUUCGUUUCUCAAGUGUAGCCAACGGUGAAGACAAUGACAACAAGUGCAGCGAGUAUCAGUUUUCAAAAUGUGAAACCAAACUGAAAAAAUACAAAGUGACAAGUUCCGAUGUCUACCCAUCGGGCGAAUGCGUGAUUAACGACGAGAGUAUUCAAGUGAACAAUAGCAACAAUAGUGCACAUUGCCACGGAUAUUUUCUAUAACGUUUGCUCCUCUAACGAAGCAUAGGCGUAGUUGAGUUUAAUGAGUUGUACAUAGUGUGGGGAAAGUGAAAUCUAACUUAUGUAGAUAUAGUACACAUCUGGAAAAGAAUAACGAAAUAACAUUUAAGUCAUACAUACCUGUAGUGCUUCGUUUUAUGGUUUUGCAAGAUAGGGCAGUGAAAACUGUGCAUAGAGUAAGAACAAAUGACAAAUUGGAUGCUACUGCAGAUUCAGUGGAUAUAAAUAGCUUACACACAUUUACCGAUAAGAUAGCCAAACUUCGAAAUACGUAGCAAAUCGUAUUUCAUUGCAUCACUAGGAUAUUACCAAAAUGGCCGAUAUGCCUGAUUUAUCCCAUCUAACACAGGAGGAACGAGCUAUCAUUGAAAAUGUUAUGCUACGUCAACGUCAGGAGGAGGAGCGGGAGAAUGAGAUUAUGCGGAGAAAGCAGGAUGAGGUGGCGACGCUCGUUGAUUCAAUCAGGCAAAAAUCGGAGCAGCAGAAAAAGGCAGGAGUGGAACUGGACGCUACCUGUCAUAUUUGUCUCAAAACCAAAUUUGCGGAUGGCAUCGGGCACAUCUGCAAUUAUUGCAACAUCCGUUGUUGUGCCAAAUGCGGGGGCAAAGUUACGCUGCGUAACAAUAAGGUGAUAUGGGUAUGCAUCGUUUGUCGGAAGAAACAAGAACUGUUAUCGAAAACGGGCCAAUGGAUCAACAAAAGUACCAGUCCCGAUGGGACGCCGGGACGCCGAUACGAAGGAGAUCCGAGGGGAUAUCCGCAAACACUCGAUCCACACGAUCCCUCCGACAAACGACCAAAACUGGAGCGAGCGAAGAGUGCUGCUGAAAAAGAAAACAACCCGAUGCAACGUUCCGGUAGUCAGCUAAGGAGGCAGUAUUCACAACAAGAUCCACCACAACGACGAUUGUCACAAUCGGACAGUGGAGUGGAUAUAUCGACUGGUCCCUCGCAAGUUCGAUUACCGAUGCCGCGGAUGCACUCUCAAGGUGGCCAGCAGCAAGGUCCGUAUGGCCAGUACACGCAACACCCCGGUCUUCCCCAGCCUCCCUUGCAACAGUCACCAUACGGACAUCCUCAAUCGCACAUGAAUCCUCAAGUGCAGAUCACACGGCCCAGCGGAAACGUUGGGAUGUGUGGUUAUGCGCAAGAGGAUCCUAGUUAUUAUCAGGGUGAAAUUGAAGAUCUAAUGCGUGCUCAUCCGCAUUUGGUUCAUCCUCGGCAGCAGCAGCACUACGCAGAAUCAAUGCAAUCCGGAAGUAGCAGCGGGAUUGUGUUACCACCAGAACCAAUGAAAAAACACAAACGCCCUAUGGGUGGUCCUUAUCUGCCGCAGCAGCGGUCGUAUAGCAGUUCGGACGAAGAUAUUCGAUCUACGCCGGAGUAUGAAGCCGGGCACCAAAAACAGUAUUUUGAUAAUCACUCUCGACUGAAUCCAAGCCUAACCGAUUACCGGGCGAGUAAGCUGGAUGUACAACAAAGAAAUAGCUAUAAUCGAACGAACCAUAACCGGUACCAAAGCCAGCAGUCGCACUCGCAAUAUCAGCAACCACUACCACAGGUAGUGGUUGCCGACAGCACCAUUACGUCGUUGGCAUACGAUAACAAUAAUCAUCACCACAGUAGUAGUCAUCAUCAGCAUAGUCACCAGUCAGUGCCGGAGUCCCAUCAAGCUCAUAAUAGCCAAUAUCAGUUUAUUCAGCAGAACAGUCGAUAUAAUUCCAGUUCUGUUGGCAAUGAACAGCCGGACCCAUACUGGGAUGAUCCGGCCGACAGUCGACGAUUCACCGAACGGAGAAAGAAAACGGUGAGGUUCGAUGGACAGGACGCCGAUGACUGGGGACGAUGGGAGUCGGAAAGACAGGGCAGCCAGGAUUCAACGACGAAGGAUUCUGGUAUCGACACUAGCAGUACAUUUACUAGUAGUGAAGAUUCUAAUCGUGGUGAUGGCCCCAAGAAUCCUGUUAGUUGGCAAGUGUCAGCAGAUGGCAGCCGUAUGAUUGGUCAUAUGGUAUUGCAAAGAAAUGUAGACAGCGAAGACGUUUUAGGAUUGAGAGUACGAGGUGGUCAAGUUCUGCCCCACAACGAAAAGGGAGCUAUUGUUGAACAAGUGCAGCGAGGUUCGAUAGCAGACCAGGAAGGACACAUUAGGCCAGGUGAUGAAGUGGUGGAAUGGAAUGGCCACUCGAUGCGUGGGAAAUCCGCGUCGGACGUAUACGAUAUUAUAAGUGCUAGUAGACGGGAACCGUUGGUAGAAUUGCUCCUAACACGUGAGAUUGCGAUAAAUCGUAAAAACACUCAAGCAUCCUGGCGAAAAUCUCAUUCUCCAACGCGUAUUCAGACUCACCGUGGAGCAGAAAACUACAACCGCCGGGAUAAGCCCAGCGUGCUAGUCACAUCUCCCGGUUCACCAGACCUGCACAGUGUUCGGAAUUAUUCCACCAACCUUCGAUAUCCUAAUAGACUGACACCGGCUGCGACAGCGACGCAGCAAGAAAAUUGCGUUGGAGGACGGAUUCAGUUGAAGCUGGGCUUCGAUCCCAGUUCUCUGCAGCUGAUCGUGACAAUCGUGGGCGCCAAAGAUCUGGUUCCAAGGCUUAACGGUGCGGCACGAAAUCCAUACGCCAAAAUCUGCUUGCUUCCGGACCGCAGUGAAAAAUCCAAACGACGAACGAAAACGUUAGCUCUGACGAACGAGCCUCGCUGGGGUCAAACAUUCGUAUACGAAGGCCUUCGUAGAGCUGAUCUGCAAAAUCGCCUGUUCGAAAUCACUGUCUGGGACUACGUCCGCUAUGGUGCCAACGAUUUCCUCGGCGAAGUGAUUCUCGAUUUGUCCACGUACCCUUUGGACGACGAAGCAGAGUGGCACGUUCUGCAGCCGCAUUCGGAGUCUCUCCGAGAUGCAUUCCGUAGAGAGGAUAGAGAACCUGGCAACGAACUGGAUAUGAUUUUAUCCCCGAUCGAUCAUUUAUCGCCACCGAGCACCACUUCAAGGUGUACUGACUCUGACACGACCUCCGAAUGCGAUAUCGAUGGUCUGAUGACUGCCCGAGACGGUGCUAGCGUUUCAUCAUCAAGUCCUCCACCAGAGGUUGAUCUACAGGAGCGAAGGUCUCGACGGGAUAUGUCACCACAGGGACGUAAACGAGUGGCUAGUAUGGUAGCAAAAGACUAUCGAACGGUGUCGGGCGUAGGGCAGGGCUUUCACAAUCAAAUGACGAACGAGGCAUCCGCUUCCUAUCGUCGGAACGGCACGAUGGCACUGAACCAACGAAGUCAAUCGGCAGCACCGAGCGAUAGCUAUCGGGAUGACCGGCGGGAUUCUCUGUCGCCCCAAGAUGAUAGAUAUACCGAAUAUCCAGUUCUUCCAUUACAUCAGUAUGCGCCAAGAUUUCAAUCACGAUCAGCGACUGCGACACCAACUGGUUCACCGAAGAAACGACAAUUACCACAAGUACCUCACGUGUCACGAAAUGCAGCAAUGCGAGAACGGUUCGUACAGGAGUUUGAGGAGCGCAGUGGAGGACGUUUUUCCCGGUACCGACAUCGCCAAAGCCAUCAUCUGCCAACGUAUCGAAGUACGGGGAUGGGAGGAUGGGAACAACGCUAUACCGGACUAUCCGACAGCGAUCUGACGACACACUCAUUAGACAGUAGAAUUAGACCUAGACACUCGUUAUCUCCGGAUAAGGAUUUUAUGGGUGAUUUUGCUGACUCCGAUAUGGAGUCGGUAGUUAGUGUAACUUCAAGUGCUUUUUCAACUCAGUCGGAGCGACCGCGUGGAUCAAAAGGGAUAAGGAAUACGCGCGGUAGGCGUCUUCAGCAUAGAAGUCUCCCAUCGGGUUGGGCAACGACUUCUUUGUGUGCUCUUCCAAGCGAGUACCCAUUCGGGCAACCAGUCAGCGAGGCGGAACACGAAACAACACUUCCUGAUGUCGCUCAAGCUGGUCUAAAUCCUCCCAAUUUCGAUGUUGCUCCUGAUCAAGGCUUCAUACCCUCUAGAGAAUAUACCCCAAAACUACCUGAAACCCCUAUGUUACCUACUAUGGCCUCCACUUCCAGUGUUGUUGUUCCCUCGGCUACUGAAGAUAAUAGGCUUGUACCGAGUCCUGCUGUUCCAACCCUUGAGCAAUUUCCUCUCCCUGAGCCUGCAAGUAAUAGUUAUUUUAGCAAGCAAUGCAUUAUGCUUAAUUCAGAUCAGAGCACCAUUCAGAGCUGUAUUGUUAACCCUGGUAAUGAUAACAUGAUGACCACAUCUCUGAACCUUUCAAACAUGUCGUCAACGGAACCAACCUCUUUAGAGCUAAAAACUGGAUCGUUACCGCUUAGUAGCUACAUGCAGUACGGAAUCAAUCAAAUGUCCACAUCUCUACAAGGCGAUUCAUUUUAUAGCGAUCAGGCAUCAGCUGAUUAUGACACAAAUCGACGACCUUCAUACGCUGCUCGUUCAAAUACAUCAGAACCAAAUUUGAAUAGUAUGAACAAAGUUCGCCGCCGUAUGCCAAAAGAACCAAGAAACUCACGAAAUGAGUCGAUUUGUGUAUCCAAUCAUCGUGGACCUCACACUAAUCAAUCAAUCCCAACUGCUACAAAUCAGAUUAUACUAAAGUCUUCCUUCUCGGACCAGAAUUUGCCAAACAGUUUCACUUACGAACAAAAUAGUGGCCAAACUGGAAAUAUUUGUAUAUCUAAUGUGUACGAUCCAAAUACUGGAAUCAAGAAUCAAACAAUCACAUGCAUUCGAAACAGUAUGGAGAAUUUAGGAGAAAGUAACAUUCGCUAUUCUAGCACCCACGAUGGAUCGAUUUGUGAAUUUUCUGCUCCGCACCUACAAUUCCGUUCUUCAGUUGGAAGUAUUGAUUUGAAUGUUCCUCCAAGAAUGAUCGUAAACCAGUCUCACGAUAUUCGCCAGGAAGACGAAUAUCAUGUGGAUGACUUUGAAAACGAUCUGGGCGUGGUACUCAGGAAACCCACCGAAUAUCUCACAUAUCCACGUGAACAGCCAUUCUAUGGACACACCGAACUUGGAUUCAAAGAAACUUACUUGGGCAACACGAUUACUAAACAAAAAGACAAAUUUAAUCGCUCGCAAUCACUAGUCGCUAGCGAUCAUAUGAUAGACAUUGAAUAUGACUCAGAUACGGGUUACAAAACAAAAAGCGUUCGUAAAAAUAUGAUCGCCAGCAGUGUGGAAGAGAAAGUAUAUCACAAACGAACAAGAUCACUUGAUGGCCAUAAAGCACUGGAUGAAAAAUACACCGACAACAAUUCUGAUUCCAUUGGAUCCAGGUCAAGUUUGGAUAAAAGCAACAUGACUCUCGAUAUAAUUAGAAAUACUGAUGUGUCACAUGCCGAUAGCAAGGAUAAUGCAAAUAAUAGGAAAACCAACAGAAAAUCAACAGCGUCACCUGCAAAGAAAAAUUCCAAAAUGUCGAAAAAUACUUCCAGUUCCAAUUCGCUGAACCGAUCUGGCUCAGCUAAAUCUAAAGCGUCUUCCUCUAAAGGAUCCACAUCUAAAUCUAAGGCUGCGGAUAAACCAAAAUUUAAAGAAGUUGACCCAGUGCUUCAAAAAUCAAACAAACAAAGAACGGACAGCAAAAAUAGAGUGGAUGAAAUCAAAGGUGAAAUCGAUGUUCUGCACAGUAGCUCGGAGUCCAUUAAAUCGAUCAUUGACGAAGUGCGUCAUGAGUUAUUACAAAAGCCACAAAAUUUCACGUACUUGAGUGACGAAAGUCCGACAUUUUUAAACAGAAGUCAUUCCCUCAGCGACGGUGACUCAACUCACAACAGAAGAAUAAACGAAAAGUACGAUAAGUAUGAGUUUAUUGAAGGUCGGAAACACUAUAUCCUCAAAGAUGACAAUUUGAACCGUAAGGUGGAUUUAGGAAAGUACGAAAACGAAAAAGCGGUGGGAUAUACACGCUCCCAUUCAGUAGAUAAUAGGCGAGGUCAUUCGACUAAAGCAUCUGGAGACUUGUUUACAAAGUGUCGUACACGUAGUUCGAGUGUGGUGUCCAACGAUGAAGAUCGCUGCGAUGAAAACGAGGAUUACGUGUCCGAUGACGAUGUGUUUGAAAGUCCUUUUUCUAGAGGACGAAAUUCAUCAUUCAAUGGCAAAUCUUCCACCAAACGUAGAUCUCGGCUAGAUACCCGACGGACUUCCAGUUUGGAAGAUUUGAAAAAAUUUGCUUCUCAGCAUAAAGCUGGUAGCAGCAACAAAGGUAGCAAAAGUGAUAAUACCCGACAUAGUUCAGUCAGUAUUAAUGACAAGCCAGAGUACUUUGAAUACAGUAAAUCCCCUUCACCUCGCCCCAAGACUGACGCUAGAAAUGCUAAUUAUGCUUCCAAUCGUUCCAAAUCCUCCAAUGGUAUCGCCCUUCUGCAAACCGAACCAAAACGAACCUCAUUGAAAAAAAUCUCACCGGGUGGGCCCACGCCGCGAAAAUCCAAUCCCCACCAACACCACCACCACCAAAGUGAUUACGAUGUGAGAGACCGGGGUCGGUACGGCAACAACGGUGGACGGGAUGCGUAUCGGCAGCGUGAUCGUGACCGAAACAGUAGUGACCAUGAGCGGGACCGUCUCAGCGACGGUCGGCGAGAAUCGCGGGAGCGUGCUGAACUGGACCGAAGUCUUUCGAACAAUGAGGGAACGCCCGAGGAUAAAAUAGAUGGUAGCUUAAGCGACACGGCCGUGAUACAAAGUUUGGACUCGCGGCGUAAGCUAGACCAACGAUCGCCCAAGAGUGAGACCCCAACGAGGGAACGGGAUCUCUUCGGUCCCGGCAUGGGAAAGAAGAGUAGUUCCACGUCGCAACUGUCGGCAACAGACCAAGGGAUAUCGCCAUCAUCCUCGUCGUCUACAUCGCAACGCAAACGAUCCUCAGCGGGAUCGAUCCAACGGUCAGUCGAAGUGACACCGAUUCCAUCACAGUCGGGGGCCAAUCGUGCCGGAAGUUUACACUCAAUCUCUAGCUCCGAGGGCUCCUCAUGGUCGCCAUCGCUACGGAUGACCGGCGAUACUGGACCAUUGUCGGACUUCAUCGAGGGUUUGGGACCAGGACAGCUUGUUGGGCGCCAAGUGCUGGGCGCUCCUGCCUUAGGUGAUAUUCAACUGUCUAUGUACUAUCAGAAGGGUUCCUUAGAAGUUGAAGUGAUAAGAGCGAGAGGUUUGCAGGCUCGUCCUGGCUCAAAAGUACUUCCAGCGCCUUAUGUUAAAGUGUAUUUAGUUUCCGGUAAAAAGUGUAUAGAAAAAGCUAAAACAACGACUGCUAGGAAAACGUUAGAUCCAUUAUAUCAACAACAAUUAGUGUUUAGAGAACCGUUUGCUGGCUGCAUACUACAAGUGACGGUAUGGGGUGAUUACGGACGAAUGGAGGGCAAAAAAGUGUUCAUGGGUGUAGCUCAAAUAAUGCUGGACAACUUAAACCUAUCACAUUUAGUCAUCGGAUACUACAAACUGUUCGGAACCACAUCACUGGUCAGUGGACCACCUAGUUUGGGUCUAUCUAGGCGAUCCUCAAUUGCAUCACUCGAUUCACUUAAGCUGUAAAACUCAUUGACAUCACUAUGUUUAAUUUUCUCCUUCGGCAUUGUUUUGGUUUUCAACUUUUGUUUGGUUCAGAACUGUAUCACUUUUGUUCUUGGUUCGUACUAUGAGAUGGUUUGAUGUUGUUGGUUUUUGAUACGAACUGAAGUUUUGUCUAGCGGCAGUCAUCUUAGUGACCACAAUCCGACUUAGAUUGAAACACGAAAGCUGAUGCAACAGUUUUGUCCUAGCGUUUCUACGAAUUGUGAAUAUCUUCUUUGUUGUCCAGUUUUUCGAUAUAGCCUUGCAAUAGUUUACACUCUAGCUAAUAGUAUCUGUUCGAGCACGAUCUUCUCGAGAUGAAGCUUAAACCACCCUAGACUCCUGAAAGGAUGCCACUAUUCUGCUGGUUUUCAACGGAUUGCGAGAGGGAUCAGCAAAGAUUCUAUCUAGGUUCGUGAAAGUUCGUUAUUCAUUCAUACUUACAUACCGGUUUUGCUUUUUCCGACGUUUCAGUAACUUUUGGUAUGUAACUGAUUUGCCAGACUUUAUUGAGUACUUUGUAUUGAAAUAAAAAAAAAAUAGUAUUAUCAUCAUUUAUUAUAGUUUUGAAACAUGCAAGUGACAUUUCUUAUUAUAAAUAACGCUGAUUCCACCAUGGAGUAUGAAAGCAACUUCGCUCGCAUUCCUUCUACAAUUCUCUUCAGCUUACUCGCAUAUUUCUCAGUGCAAUCUAUAAAUGCAGCAGUAAAAAUGCUCAAAGUACGAUCUUGUCUUGUUCAAUCCUUAUUUACCACAUUUCAAUCACCUGGUUUUGUUAGUUCCAAUUCUUCUUUAGAAAUCCUUUUUCAAAUCAGUUGAAAAAACUGAUCUCCCAAUUGUGGCUUCCUUUUCCGUUUGUUUGAUUUGUUUAGACUCCUUACUUGUUACUUCUGUUCCAUAGAGGCAGUGUCGAAAGCACUUUUAAAAUAGUGUGUUUUGUCAAAUCCGAUCGAUGGAAUAAUAGAAAGUUUCCUAAAAUCUGUACAAUGAAAUCUUACAAAAAAUAUAUAGCGCUAAAAGUGUUUUAGUUAAUCAUAGUAAAAGUAACCUUGAUAAACCUCAACAUAAGUUUCAUCGGCGUACCUACUAUCUGGUUUACCAAAUCCACAUCCUUAUUUUUCGUACAAUCCAAGCCACGACAGUUAGUUCUAGGAAGCCAAAUACCGACCGUAACGGCAACAUGUUCCAGUAUAGGAGACUAGACUAAAACAAAUUAACAAAUUCAGCCCGUGAGAUGACGCGAUACGCAACCAAAUAAAAAAAAAGUGAAAACCACAUUCACACACGAGCACGGAGAGCGAGAGCAAUUUUCAGAUUUUUCGCGUAUUUAUUAAAAAAAAGCAAAAGUACAUCUAAGGAAAAAUGAAACUCAAAUCUGUGAAUUUAUUAAAACUAAUAUUAAAAGAAAAAAAAAAACAGUAAUGAUACAAAUCAUCAAAAUGCAGCAUCAGACGAUUCAUAACAAGGUGAAUAACUACUUUGUUUAAAAAAUGAACAAAUAAUCAAGCCUUCCAUUACAUUUAUGAAACAAGGAACAUUUAAUUAUCAAUUAUCAAUUCAACAAAACUAAAUUUUUGACAUUUGAUAAUCCCAGCAUAUGGUCCUAGACAAACUACAUCAUUCCUAUUCGUUUUACUUUUGAAUUGUAGAUUCAGCCAGAACUAUCGUAUCGUAAAACAUAUUCGUUCCCUCUCAAAUAAUUUUCGCCAAAUUAACAUGCAUUUUCAUGUAAUUUCUCUUUCCUACUUCACAUAAAAUCUCAUAAGACUAUAGGAAAAAUAAAACAAACAAAGCGACCGCCACUUAGUGUACAGCUGGUAUGGAACAGGAAAACAUUUUUUUUCAUAGAGAAAAAAGUUAAGCGUAACUCAUUGAAAAAAGCAAAUUUGUAAAUUUACUUAAACAUAAUAGGCAGAACCGAUCGCGGAAACAUCUUGUAAAUAUAAAGUAAAAUCAAAGAAAACUACACAGAAAAACGGGACGUGAGCAACGAAUACGUAAGGUUGCAUCCUUGCACUCGUUCCAUACAAAAAAAAAAUCAAGACAGGAGUUGAAGCGAUGUAUAAAUUAAACAAAUAAAAUCAACAUAAGUUUUGCCUUAGACUCCUACCAAAUUACGCGAAACCGUUGUCAUGGCCUCAGAAGAACCGCAAUUCGGAAACAUUUUGUCUCGAAGAGAUUCAAUGCUGCUGCUUAUUGUUCCUUACCAAUGUUACUCUUUUUUCCCCGAAACAGCAUGUCUUUACAUCACUGAUUACUUGUAUUUACUUUUUUUUUAUGAUUGACGUGGCUUUUCAUCGAACGUCAUAUAAGUUUGCAAUGUAGUAAACAGUUGAAUCUCUACAUGUUACUUAGCAAACAAGUAAUAUUCAUUUAUUCACCAUUUUGUUGUUAAUUAGUUAGCAGCAAUUGUAUGAGAGCUGAAUCGUCGAGGCAAUCUGUUGUGAAAUGUAAUAAUGCCAUGUAUGAGAAAUAAAAUCUUAUGCAUCAAUCAGAGACAAAAAACCAUUUCCAUAUAAAUACUAAACCAGCACAUGCCGGUGGUUGGGAUCAUGGCAUGGUACAAUUCUGCAGAGGUAUUGACGUCUUUACCUUCACAGAGCUUCGUAAUGUUGAGCAAGCAAAAGUGAGCCGGAACGCAUUUCAUGGAAGCGAAACAAAACCUUAAAAAUAAAAUAUUUAUCUUUAACGAAAAAAAAACAAGCCAAAACCAUAUCUUUAAUAUAAGAAACUUUAAUGAUUAAUUGACAUAAAAAUAAACAAGAGCAACACAAAAAACAGGUUAUGCGAAUGUUUCAUUUGACUUAUUAUCAUUAAAGAACGCGCUUCUUGGGAAUUGACACUAAAUUUCAUUACUAGCAACAAAAAUGGCAUAAAGGCAGGAAAUAAGGAGAUGAUACAAAGUACAUAUUUUUAUAAUCCCCCUACAUUGUGGACAAUGGAAGAUGAAAGUAAAAUCAAAACAGUUCAUCUAGCAGCAAACAAAACCUAAGGAAUAUGGGAUUAAUGACGUCAAAGAAAACAGUGAUCGACAUUCCGUUUGCGUUGCAGAGAAGUUUGAAGCAAACUGCUGACGAAGCCUUUAAGUACGACUUUAUUUUAUGAGAGAAAGAAGACAUCUCAAACAAACACAUGUUCAGCAGCUUAUGCCGUGUUAACGAAGGUCAUAUCACCGAAGCACUAUCCCAUGGUUUUUGUUUGGAACAAUCACUUAGCAGGACUAGAUGAAGCGUUUUGUUCCAUUCGUUCUAGAGGUUUAUCUGACUGAAGUAUGGAUUAGUUGAUUUUAUCAGAUUUUAAAAAAUGUUGAAGUAGUUUGCUUAUUGGUUUACAGGUGACUAGUUUAAUAGCAAAUCCAAUAAUUUCCCAAUCAAAUUACACUGUUCAAUCGGUUGCAUGAUACAAUCCCUCAAACAAAAUAAAGAAAAUAGAUAUUAGGGCCAUCUUCUGAACUGGAAACAUGACUUAUUUGCGUCGGACUUUUCGCAUAUAUGAAUUAGAACAACGAAGUUUCACUUUCUGCUUUUCAGGUGGUAACAAAUAAGACACAUAGAAAUUGUAAAUUGACUUCUGCAGUUCUGCAGUUGUAAUAAUGACCAAUGUAAUAAAGAAAUAAUCAAGAUCCCAUGCUACAUAUGAGUGUUACCCAAUUGGACUACUCUUGAACUUUAAUUGUGCGCAUCUCUGAUCCGUCCAUUGACUCUCGCAAAUGCUAGUAAAACACUUCUGAAAAUCGAUUCCCCAUUUACCAAUUAUAAGCUAAACUCACCUCCCGAUGACUUUUAUGCAAUUGCUUCAAAGGUAUGGCGCACAUAUUGGAGCUUGUUUACUAUUUAUUUCACCGUGCUUAUUGCUUUAAUAUACAUUUCAAUCGAAGAUUUCAUUAGAAUAUAGCCCCUGACGACGAGAGGUGCACGCUUGGAAAAGAAUCGAAAAGAUGAAUGAAAACCUAUUAUUUUUGGUGCGAUUAUGUGAAUCUUAAAAACAGUACUAAAAUACGGAUAACAAAUGGCCUACUAAAAGUAGUUAUUUUAGUUUUAAAUCCUAGCGAUAAAUAAAUUUUCCUAUGUAGUUUGGAAUUUUGCACUGAUAGGGAUGAACGAACCAAUCGCCAAUACAACACAACUUGAUUGCUUUGAAGUAAUUUCUGUUUUGCAAACUCUAUGUAUUGAAUUAACACGUUUAACAAUCAGAUUUACUCAUUUUUCUUCCAAUAUGAUUGAACAUGUUGCAAUCAAAUUGGUUAGAUUCUUCACUUUUCAACGAUCAUUACAAAUCAACUGUCACAUAAAGCCAUGAUCUUCUUACUGCAUACUUCAAGUAACUUAAGAAUCAAUACACUCAUUAAUUUUGUUACUUACAGUACUAUUUUCAAAAGUACGGUUCGAUGGAGAUCAUACAAAAUUAGAAGGAUACAAGAAAUGAUUUGGAAAGGCAUGUGUGGUUAUGAAGGAAUGGAAAUAAUUGUGUACAUUGUGAAAUAAUGAGUUUUAAUUAUUUUAUAAAACAGAAGUACUAGUAAGCAAACUAUUCAGAAAAAGUGGUGAACCAGAGAAAAGCGAGAAAGGAGACAGACAACCAAAAUAUAUUAAUUUGAAGAAAAUUAAUUUAUACACAUAUAAACAUGAUCAAAGGGAAUGGAAGGAAAAAAAAACGAUUACUAAGUAAAUUAAUAAGAAAUCUAGGGUCAAGAACAAUAGUGCGUCAAAGGAAACAAAAAAGAAAAUGAACAUGAUUCAAAAGAGUAUUGUAAAUUAAAAAUUUCUAUUAUUAUUACCAUAUAUAAAUAUACUGAAAAUAUAUAUUAAAAAUGUAUCCCCUCUCGGCUAAGGAAAUGUCGAGAAACGACAAUAAAACUGUGAAAAUUGAAAAAAACUAAA
This is an RNA transcript of Aedes albopictus (Asian tiger mosquito), 12837 nucleotides long. It is a transcript of the gene named regulating synaptic membrane exocytosis protein 2, with no coding region annotated. Lineage: Eukaryota; Metazoa; Arthropoda; Insecta; Diptera; Culicidae. The record is from RefSeq and is a predicted model, not a curated record. The transcript has 22 exons.